UUGAGCAAGAGAAGGGCGUUUGGUGGAUGCCUUGGCACUAGGAGGCGAUGAAGGACGUGGCACGCUGCGAAAAUCCUGGAGGAGCUGCGAGCAAGCUUUGAUCCCAGGGUGUCCGAAUGGGGCAACCCACCCCUAUGGGGUAUCAUGCAGUGAAUACAUAGGUGCAUGAGGCGAACCCGGGGAACUGAAACAUCUCAGUACCUGGAGGAAAAGACAUCAACGGAGAUUCCGCUAGUAGUGGCGAGCGAACGCGGAUCAGGCCAGUGGCCACUUCAACUGAAGCAGAACGGCAUGGAAAGGCCGGCCUAAGCGGGUGAUAGCCCCGUAAGCGUAGGGUUGUUGUGGUCCUUGAGUAGGGCGGGGCACGUGAAACCCUGUCUGAACGUAGGGGGACCACCCUCUAAGCCUAAAUACUCCCUAGUGACCGAUAGUGAACCAGUACCGUGAGGGAAAGGUGAAAAGCACCCCGAUGAGGGGAGUGAAAGAGACCUGAAACCGAACGCCUACAAGCAGUCGGGGCUCCUUAUGGAGUGACGGCGUACCUUUUGUAUAAUGGGUCAGCGAGUUUCUGUUGCCAGCGAGCUUAAGCCGUUAGGUGUAGGCGCAGCGAAAGCGAGUCUGAAUAGGGCGUUGAGUUGGCGGUAGAAGACCCGAAACCGAGUGAUCUAGCCAUGGCCAGGCUGAAGGUGGGGUAACACCCACUGGAGGGCCGAACCCACGCCUGUUGAAAAAGUCGGGGAUGAGCUGUGGCUAGGGGUGAAAGGCCAAUCAAACUCGGAGAUAGCUGGUUCUCCGCGAAAUCUAUUGAGGUAGAUCGUC
Molecule: ribosomal RNA, 819 nt
Filed under: Sphingomonas sp.
Lineage: Bacteria; Pseudomonadati; Pseudomonadota; Alphaproteobacteria; Sphingomonadales; Sphingomonadaceae
Description: partial 23S ribosomal RNA
Rfam family: Bacterial large subunit ribosomal RNA
Source: RNAcentral